RNAcentral lists this ribosomal RNA (253 nucleotides) under uncultured bacterium. RNAcentral's name for it is "partial 16S ribosomal RNA". It matches the Rfam family "Bacterial small subunit ribosomal RNA", at positions 524 to 776 of the family's 1533-position model. The record is from RNAcentral.
GACGUAGGGGACGAGCGUUGUCCGGAUUCAUUGGGCGUAAAUCGCGCGUAGGCGGUUUCGCAAGUCGGUUGUGAAAAUCCGGGGCUCAACCCCGGACCUGCAUCCGAUACUGCGUGACUAGAGGUAGGUAGGGGAGAUCGGAAUUCCCGGUGUAGCGGUGAAAUGCGCAGAUAUCGGGAGGAACACCAGUAGCGAAGGCGGCUCGCUGGGCCAUUCCUGACGCUGAGACGCGAAAGCUAGGGGAGCGAACAGG